AGGCUGGAAUGGGGUAAAAGAAGAAUUCUCUGAACUCUUCUGCUCUUUGGAAUGAGCAUCUUAACCUCACUGACAAUACUUUGAGACCCUGUCAGAUUAUCAAAGGAGGAAAUGACAAAGAGGUGACAUUUUAAAAAGCCUAAUUUAUUUUAACUUUUAUAUCUAUUUAGUUGUUUUUAGGAAGUAAAGCAUAAUAUUUCAAUAUUAUUGAAAUACAAGAGAGGAUCACCAUGAAUUGAGAUGUACCUGUUCAGAAAUCAUGCUUCCUGCCAUCCAACUGCUAAGAAGUCCUAUUUGAUGUCAGCAUAACUCUUUUACUCAUUCAUUCACUUACUCGUUUAUCAAAUACUUGAGCUUCUGCUUUGUGGAGGACCCAUGACUUGCUUAAAAUGAGGGGAAGCACAAAUCAUAGGAGAAAGCGUGAACCCCUAGGAAGUCCCAGAAGCAAGAGGUGAAGUGCAACAGCUACAGAAGGCUGGGAAACAGCCACCAACACACGGCCUGGCUUGUGAGUUUGUCCUGUGAACAAAUGUGGCACACACCCUAGGAGGAGAAGAGAUGGAGCCCCAAAUGACAGCAGAAUGUAAACAGCAACUCAAAGCUACCCCCAAAAGAAUAUCAUUCAAGUGUUCACUCGGAGCUUUUACCUACAGAAACUGACAUCUUAGCAGCUUAAUAUUCUACAAUGAAGGACAGUUAUACUUUAUAUGCAUAUCUGUCAGGAACAUAAGCCUGAAUUGUUUUCUCUUUUCUCCUGAGAGUUCCAUAUUUUUAACAAGUUCCUCUUUCCAUCUAUAGUUGAUGCCCUGAUUUUCUGCCAUGCUCGAUGCAUUCUUUCAUUAUUUCCAGGACAGUUCCUCCGAAGUAACGCCCUAUCACCACGCCACCUCAUCAUUACCUUGCACAUGGGUAGAAUUCCCUGACAGAGAAAUGUGUAAUUGCACCUUGGUUUUUCAAUGGAAACAUUAAUUGAAUUGAAAAAGAGAAGAGUUAAUCUGACUUAUUAUAGUUACCCCAAACCCUGGCAACUUUCACAGAAAUGAAAUACAUGGGGAAGAAAAAAAUUAUUCUGACUCCAAAGUGCCAAAACAUCAAGAUGAAACAUAAAACAUGAAAAAUGCAGUCCACUGUCCAGAUAUUUUGUCUUUUAAAUGGCAUGCAUGUUGUAUUUGCUAAUUUAGCUGCCUUAAAACAUACAUUAAAAUCUACCUAGAAUACGACAGUGACAUAAAUGUAUUAAUUGUAUGUAACAUUUGUGGAGGUCUUCGUAUUUUCUGAUGUUUUUCACAUGCCAUAUUUGACUAAUAAUCAGUGAGGUAUGAACAUCAAUUCCAUUUUACAGAAGUGGUAAUUGAGGGCCAAGAUGUGAAGGGACCUGCCUCAACUCAAUUGGCAGGAAGUCCAGGCAGGGGAUGAGAUUUCAGUCCAAGUAAGUCACAGGUUCCUGUGAUAAUAUGGUUGUUAUACCAUAUUAUCUUUUUAUUUGACAAAAUUGCACUAAGACUGCCAUUAGCUCCCUGUGUGAGUGUGAUCAAAGAAACUAAGCUAUAUAAGCUACAGCCUUUGAUUUUUAAUUGUUGUUAUUUGUAGAGUCUUUUGUUGAGAGUCUCAACUCAUCCUAUAAGCUCUCUGCUACCUCUGCCCCCAAAAUGUUGAAACCUGGGCUAAGAUUAUUUUAGUUGUUACCUGAUGCUUCCCUCGCCCAAGAACUUAAAUAAUAUGGCAUAUUUAAAGUAUUUGAAUAUCAAAAGGUUCAGCAAAGCCAAGUGUCUCAUAUAGUAUUAGGCAGAUCUACCCUGGGCAUUGGGUGUAAUAAUUUAUCAUUAUGGGCAGAUGCAUAAUUAGUAUCAUUUCUAAUGACACAGAGAUACAAAUUUCAUGUUUGAUGCGAUCCUGCCAAAUAAUUUAACAUGGUGCAGUUAAAAAAUGACAUGGAUCAUGUAUUUGGUUAGCGGUCUGUGAGGGAAAUGAGAGUAAAUCUGAUUUCAGCCCCAUCAAGAUGGGGCAUCCCCUGCAUCCAGCAGCCUCAUAUGAGAAUGUUUAUUUAAAAGGGUGGGGGUGGGGUGGGGUGUAUAUGUGAGACUGUGGUAUGCUUAACUGCUUUCCACAUCUAGAAUAAAUAUUUACCUAGAGAAAAAUCUUCAAGACAUUAAGGAAGACAACAGUUCUCUCUCUUAAGACAGAGAAACACAUAAAAUCACAGGCAUUUGUGGGCUGUCAGAGUCCCAUGUGAUAAACACUGGCACUUUCAUGCACAUUUUUGCAUCUCUGCUGGUACCCUCUGCACUAACAUCCUGCAGGUCCUCUUCCCUCCCCUUUACAAACUUAGACAAACAAUAUGACCAUCUUAACUUUAAAAAAGGGGGCAAACCAGGUCCAGGGAAGAUGCAGUGUAGGGUUUUUUUUUUUUUUUCUCAAUCUUUUCUUCUGUUCCCUAAUCCUGGACCUCACUUUCUCCACUGAGAGGCCCAGGAGGUCACGGUUAGUAAAGAUAUGAAAUUAAAUGAAUGACAAUCCUGUGUAAAUGGAGAUAUUUUCCAAGGAAAGUUGCUGUUUUGCUUGUUGAGUCACUGAUUAAUUCAACAAACAUUUGUCAAAUGAUUAUCUAUCAGUGGCUAUGCUAAGCACUGGUGUGCCAACUUCCACUGACCACCCCUAAAUUGAAUAAACAAAUCAUAGCCUAGUGGGACAAUGGACACAUAAGUGACACAAUUAAGAUACAGUAUGAUGAGGGAGGUGCUAUGCAUCAUUAAACCAAAAGGGAGGAAAAUUAACACAGACAAAAGAGAGUAAGCUGAGGUUUCUUGGAGGAGAGAAACACAUAGACUCAUAAUGUGGGGCUUCUACCUGCCAGGGCUUCUGCUUGAAGCUCAUCUUCCAUCAUCCUGGGGCUUCCCAGUGGGGGACUCGCAUUUGUCACUUCUCUUUUCUUGUUUUACCCUCAGCCGUGGUGCUGCAUCCUCUCUGGCUUCUGCUCACUGAGGGGCAAAGCCCAUGAGCUGUCACUGCUAAAGUCUGCAGGGGAAGCUGUGGUUGUAAUUCAUAUGCUAGUGCUGUUGGACUGACUGAAGCCACCGUCUCUGGGCUAGACCUAGCACAGGCCUCGGCACUGAAUAAAGGCUGCUGAAAUGAAUUGGAUUGCUGCUCAUCCCUUUUAUCCCCUGCUUGAGCCUGCUGCAACAUUAAUUUUGAAUGAUGGCUUUCCCCACUGUUCCUGCUGCCAUCUACGGCAUAUGCCACCAAUCAGAGAAGAUGUAUGCUCUCACUUUCUCUCAGGGGAAAUAGCUCUGAAAGUUUUUUGGUUAGCUGAUCCCUCUCUUCAGAAUGCAGGGGCAUCUGGGCAGUGGAUUCUUCUCCUGCUCUAGUCAGGAGAAAAAUAAAUAAAAGCCUCACUUCUGACCCCAAAGUAUUGGCUUUGGACAAAAUUUUUGUGGCUCGAUGCUCCCUUUCCAAGAAUAAAAUCUUUUUCAAGACUAUAUCUAGUCUGUCAUGCAAAUAGAAUUCAAAUGGCUUAGCAAAGCCAGCCCUCCAGAUCCCUGCAGACACAUGGAAUUCUCCAGAGAAUCCACUUUAAAAUCAAAGAAGUGUAAAAAGUAAAAGUAGGGGAAAAACUACAGAAAGGCGGGGCACAAAAAACGAUUGCAUGGAGAGCAGAGGACUUAUUAUCCCUACCUAAUGUCAUUCUCCUGCACCUCAACAUUACAGAUUCUCCGAUUCAACUCCUAAAAGAAUCUUUUCUUUGUCCAAAGGGAGUAGGUACUGGCUGAAAUUUCUGAAGGAAACUCAUUGGUUUUGGGUCUUUUCCCCACUUGGGUCACUAUGAAAACUAACUGAUGUGACGCUGCCUUUAAGUAGAUGAACAAAAAUAAGAGUUUGGGAUUGGUCCCCUGCAGAGUGGUGAGAAAGAAUAAGAAUGGUUAGCUAAGGUGAUUGUCCUACAGGAGGUUUAAUAUAUUUCUUUUUUAACUAGGGAAAAUCUGGUCCCAGAUGAAACUCCAGAAUACCAUAACAUUUAGAAUAGCCUAAUAUAUAGCAAUGACUUUUAAAUUUGGUGAUAGAAGAUGACUUGUAAUUAAAUAUCAGUGACUGCUUUUACAUAAAAUAUUUGCAUACUUUUUUCCUGAUGGUUUCUUUUUGCAAAUAUCUAGAACCCUUGGCUUGAAUGAUGACUUUCAUGUUAGAAUUGAUAUCUUUGGGGUUUCUCUGAAUAUAACUGGGCACAUUUUAGACGUACAACACUUAUUUGUUAAAUUACAUUGAAUAACAUUUGAAAUUAUAUCGUUUACUUGGCUUAAACCCUUGGACUUUCAAGGAACAGAUUACUGUAACUCAGCAAUGUUUUAGCUACAAAAUAAGAAGUGUGCAGCCUGAACACAGUUGCUGUCUUUUUAUUAUUUCUCAUUUUGAUACAUUUCUUAUGCUGUUGGCUAUUUUAUUAGUACCCCCUGUUGCAAAAUAUUUUUCUUUAGCGUUGUAUCUUAAUAACCAUCAAGGUGGCUUACCCAGGGUUUUCUAAUGCUCAGCACGCCCAGGAAUUGUAAUAUGGUAAAUGUCAUGUGGGCAAAGUGAUUGCGUUUAAAAAAAAAUCUGUCAGUGACUGCAUUUUUUUCCUGUUAUUUAGGCAUAUUGAUAAUAUAUAGACAGCCUCCUUUAGGAAAUAUGUCAUGAUUUUUGAUGUAUCUUUUCUUAUCGAUUAUAACUUAGAAUUUUUUAAAAAGUCCUUUAAAAAAUCCAUAUCUAAAUUUGGAAGGCCGAGUUUUGUAAUUUCAAACACAUUACUCCAUUUUUAGAAGUGCCUUGUUUGAUUAAGCUCAUUAGCUUGGGUAUAUGGGCAAAAGCCAUUGCAACUAAAUUAAUUUUGUAUAAAACAAUUGUUGUUUCUUAUCAGCUUCUCUUUCAAUGUGUUCUUCUAAGUGAAUAUUUUACGUGGGAACAAAUACAAACACAGUUUUUAUCAUCUUGUGACGUGUAAAGGAUGAUAGACUAUAUGUUUCCAAUAUAACUUUUAUUUAUACAACCAUUAUUUACACAAUGUGUGGUUAUAUUUAUUAUUUAUUGUUUUCACCACCCCUCAUUCCUCAAAAGCUUAGAAACAGCUUACAAUAAUAUAUACAAUGAUAUGUGAUGCAUAUACUUUGGAAAAUUCAUUAAGAAUCUGCCAAAUUAAUUCAAUACUGAUAAAUGUUGUAAAGAUAAUAAAUGCCUGUUAUUAUUUUGAGCUUUUAGGUCACUGUCCAUCAUAUAUAUAUAUAUAUAUAUAUAUAUAUAUAUAUAUAUAUAUAUAUAUAUAUUGCACUGAAUACGAAAUCAUAGUGGCAGACCUCUUGGCUUACAAAUGGCUAAUUAUAUUCAUUUCCUGAUUAUACUUGGGGGAGUCAUUGCUGAUUAUCUUCUGCAAAUCUUGCUUUGUGAGUUCUAUUGACAUUCAAACAGAAUGGGCUAUAAAGUCAUUUGUGGUUAUUACUCAACACCUUUUGUCUAAUUUCCCUUCCCCAUGUAGCCUAUCACCCAGCAGGAGAUCUUUCAUGUCAAAGUACUUAAUUACCUCGCCCGAAUCAGUGAAGGUUAAAAACAAUACAAAACAACCAAACAAAACAAUACAAAAAACAAAUAUGGCAUAUUUAUAUAGCUUUUUUACCCUGAUUCAUAAUUUGCUUUUACAUGUUUGACUGGAGGCUAAUUUCAGAGCUCAGUGGAAGUCAAAGAAGCUGUCUCGAAGGCAAGGCAAAUCUAAGAUAUUACCACCUGUCUUGUUCUUGGAGCCCUGCCCUGUUGGGAGGUCAGGAGACCAUGAAUUGGGAAAGAAAGAUGCUAUGUCUGCCACAUGUUUUAUGAAACAGUGGUGUGUGUGAAGGUACUCAUGUUUAUGUAUACGUUAAAGAGAGCAAACAUCUUAUUUGUGUAUGUAUGGAUAUGUGCAUUGUAUGUAAGUUUGUAUGCAUACGUGAAAAUAAAUAAAAUACAAAUAAAAUAAUUCAAUUAAAUGCAAUCUGUGUCCUCUGUGGGCAAAUAAUGAAGACUUACACCGUCUUAUAUUUUUACCCACUAUAUAAUGCUGUGUCUUUGUAGAUCUAGAGCAGAUAAAGCCCACUGGAUAGGUAUAAAUCUUUAUUCCCCAAUACCAGAACAUUUUUCCUCAAAUGAAUUCUAUUUUUUUUCCUUGCAGCUGUGAAGCUUUUCUGGAUAAGGGUCAAGGAUAUCCUCAUGACUAAAUGCAAUCCCUGACUCUCAACCCUUCUGACACUCGCUGUCCAGGUGAACCCAUAGCCAAAGCCAAGGACAUAUCAACAAUUUCGACUUGGUCUCUGGUCUCACUGGUCAACAGGCAAGAGCUACAAUAGAAUAUGUACUUGGACUCAGGCUCAGAAAUUACCAAACUGUCAUAACUGACCCAAAGAUGCUUCCUAGAGACAGGUUUCGCUGUGUUCACCAGGAUGGUCUCAAUUUCCUGACCUCAUGAUCUGCCCGCCUCGGCCUCCCAAAGUAUGUUUUUCUGUUUUUUAUUUUAUUGAUGUCUUUUGUUAAUGUUAUUUCAUUUCUUCUGCUUGCAUUGGGUUUAAUUUUGUUUUUCUAUUCUAGUUUCAGAAGCCGAAAGCUAAGAUGACUAAUUUUUUACUUUUCUUAUUUUUCAAAAUAGCAUUUAUUGCUGUACAUUUUCCUAUAAAAAUGAUUUAGCUAUAUCUCACAUGUUUUGGUAGGUUGGAUUGUCAUUUCAUUCAGUGCAGAAUGUAUUUUAAUUUUCCUUGAGGCUUUCUUUUUGACUUAUGAGAUUAUUUUUUGAUAGAUAUUGUUUAAUUUCCAAAUAUUGGAGAUUUUCCAGAUAUCUGUUGAUUCAUACUUUAAUUCCUUUAUCAAAUUAUAACAUACUUUGUAUUAUGUCUAGUCUUUUAAAAAUUUAAGGUUUUGUUUAUGGCCUAGAAUAUAGCCACAUUUGUGAAUGUUUCAUGCAUACUUGAAAAAAAUGAGUAUUGUGUUAUUUAUUGCCAAUAAGGUCAAGUUCAUUGUAACUGUUUGUUAGGUCUUUCAUAACCUUACUGAUUUACUUGUUCUAUCAUUCCCAGGAGACAGGUGUUGAAAUCUAUAAAUAUAAUUGUGGAUUUGCCCACCUCCUUUUUUAGUUAUAUUAGCUUUUGAUUAAUAUAUUAUAAAGCUCUGGUAUUAGGUAAAUGUAACAUUUAACAAGAUAUUAAUUCAAUAUAGGCUGGCACACAUGGGUUUCUCCAAAGAUGGUUAGAUAUAAUAAAUAUUUUUAAAGUUUUACUAUAUAAUUAUUUGAUCAUAUUCUGAAAAGUUGCAGGUCUGUAUCUUGCACCUCACCUUAAAUCAGAGAAAAGUUUAUGGACAAAACAGAAAUUAAAAGUCCUUCAAAGGAAAUCCCUUUUAAUAUUGCCACUUAAGGCAUUUAUUAUC
This 7410-nucleotide long non-coding RNA is filed under the name Homo sapiens (human). RNAcentral's name for it is "HSALNT0109919". The record is from RNAcentral. Lineage: Eukaryota; Metazoa; Chordata; Mammalia; Primates; Hominidae.